Molecule: non-coding RNA, 30 nt
Filed under: Mus musculus (house mouse)
Lineage: Eukaryota; Metazoa; Chordata; Mammalia; Rodentia; Muridae
Source: RNAcentral
UGGGAGUCGCUUAGGAAGCCUACUAUGGGA